AAAGAAUUAGUUAAAUAAAUAACAUAAAUCUGUCUAAUUUAAAUUAUUAAAAAUAAUAUUCUUUU
RNAcentral lists this transfer RNA (65 nucleotides) under Ylodes simulans. Its description in RNAcentral is "tRNA-Asp". The record is from RNAcentral. Lineage: Eukaryota; Metazoa; Arthropoda; Insecta; Trichoptera; Leptoceridae.